GUGUCAGUAAAGGUCCUCAGCAACUGCUUGAGGGUGCCAUUAAAACGCUUGCAGAGACUGUUAGUCUGGGGGUGGUAAGGCGAACUGAGCAGCGGUUUAAUGCUGCACACCUUCCACAGCUGCUGGGUGAGCACAGCGGUAAACUGGGUUCCCUGAUCGGAGAGAAUCUCCUUAGGGAACCCUACCCUAGUAAAAACCUUAACCAGG
Molecule: non-coding RNA, 207 nt
Organism: Pelobates cultripes (western spadefoot toad)
Lineage: Eukaryota; Metazoa; Chordata; Amphibia; Anura; Pelobatidae
Source: the annotation of a GenBank genome assembly